AGAACGAACGCUGGCGGCAUGCCUAAUACAUGCAAGUCGAACGAGAUCUUCGGAUCUAGUGGCGCACGGGUGCGUAACGCGUGGGAAUCUACCCUUGGGUUCGGAAUAACAGUUGGAAACGACUGCUAAUACCGGAUGAUGACGAAAGUCCAAAGAUUUAUCGCCCAAGGAUGAGCCCGCGUAGGAUUAGCUAGUUGGUGAGGUAAAGGCUCACCAAGGCUACGAUCCUUAGCUGGUCUGAGAGGAUGAUCAGCCACACUGGGACUGAGACACGGCCCAGACUCCUACGGGAGGCAGCAGUAGGGAAUAUUGGACAAUGGGGGCAACCCUGAUCCAGCAAUGCCGCGUGAGUGAUGAAGGCCUUAGGUUGUAAAGCUCUUUUACCGAGAUGAUAAUGACAGUAUCGGAGAAUAAGCUCCGGCUAACUCCGCGCCAGCGACGCCGAC
RNAcentral lists this ribosomal RNA (446 nucleotides) under uncultured soil bacterium. Its description in RNAcentral is "bacterial SSU rRNA". It matches the Rfam family "Bacterial small subunit ribosomal RNA", at positions 26 to 522 of the family's 1533-position model. The record is from RNAcentral.